UAAUUACCGAUGAAGACUGAUGCAGCCGGGUUCGAAAUUUAAAUACUUUUCCAAAAAAAAAUCAAAUUUAACGAAAUCGGUUAAAAGUAUUGAAAUUUCGAACCCGGCUGCAUCAGUCUUCAUCGG
This 126-nucleotide microRNA precursor is filed under the name Phlebotomus papatasi. RNAcentral describes it as "microRNA mir-75". The record is from RNAcentral. Lineage: Eukaryota; Metazoa; Arthropoda; Insecta; Diptera; Psychodidae.